AUGAUAGCUCCAAAGGUUAAUUUUUUGUGCUGGAAUGUCAGAGGGCUAAAUGACCCGGACAGACGUGCGACUGUGCACGAGACGAUCGCCUCCACCUCAUGCCACAUCGUCUGCCUUCAGGAGUCCAAGAUGGAAAACGUCGACCAGUACGUCGCCUCCUACCUUGGUGGUAAUACACUCCGUAGCUUUGCUCAGCGUCCGGCCACUGGAUCCAGAGGGGGCCUCCUCAUGCUCUGGGAUGAUAGUGUCGUUCGCAUAUCCGAUGUCCACAUCACAGAGUUCUGCCUUUCCGCAACGGUCAACGUCAUUCAUUCCGAUACCCCUUUCAAGAUCACUAGUGUCUAUGGUCCAACGGCCUCCAACAGAAAGGAUGAUUUCUUCAGUGAGUUGAUCGCUCAAAAACCCAUCAAUGGCACUAAAUGGAUUGUCGUGGGCGACUUCAACCAGAUUUACCGAGCACGAGAUAAAAAUAACAGGAACAUCAAUCGCAACCGUCUCAACCGCUUCCGUGCUACACUAGACACUUGUGAACUAAAAGAGAUC
RNAcentral lists this ribosomal RNA (543 nucleotides) under Triticum aestivum (bread wheat). RNAcentral describes it as "partial small subunit ribosomal RNA". Lineage: Eukaryota; Viridiplantae; Streptophyta; Magnoliopsida; Poales; Poaceae. The record is from RNAcentral.